GCGGAAGGGUGCAUCGAGCUGCUUUGAUUUGUAGGCCGUGGUUCUUGCAAAUACGGAUUCAUAACGUAUUGCACUAGCCCCGGUCCAAAAAACAAUAGCAACGCCGGCAACAGCA
This 115-nucleotide microRNA precursor is filed under the name Drosophila pseudoobscura. RNAcentral describes it as "microRNA dps-mir-92c precursor". Its record names the gene dps-mir-92c. The record is from miRBase by way of RNAcentral. Lineage: Eukaryota; Metazoa; Arthropoda; Insecta; Diptera; Drosophilidae.